GCCAGCGGCCAUCUCACCCUGCAACUCACAACUGGCAGCCCCUCCACUGGAGCUCAGCAGGUGUGAGCCUGGUCAGUACCUGGAGGGGAGACCUCCUGGGAAAAACUAAGGCUGCUGCUGGAA
This 123-nucleotide ribosomal RNA is filed under the name Lepisosteus oculatus (spotted gar). Lineage: Eukaryota; Metazoa; Chordata; Actinopteri; Semionotiformes; Lepisosteidae. The record is from RNAcentral.